AGUAAUAUGCCUGAUUAAAGGAAUAUUUUGAUGAAAUAUUUAUGUAAUAAUUUACUAUUACUU
This 63-nucleotide transfer RNA is filed under the name Nomada flavoguttata. RNAcentral describes it as "tRNA-Ile". The record is from RNAcentral. Lineage: Eukaryota; Metazoa; Arthropoda; Insecta; Hymenoptera; Apidae.